Long non-coding RNA from Acromyrmex echinatior (Panamanian leafcutter ant), 2396 nucleotides. The record is from RefSeq and is a predicted model, not a curated record. NCBI's taxonomy places the organism in Eukaryota, Metazoa, Arthropoda, Insecta, Hymenoptera, Formicidae.
AGCUUAUUGGUUACUACAUCACAUUUUGCCGCGCGGCAAGCGUUUCCGCGUCCAGUGUGCAGGAGCCAUUAGUAACAUGUAUUGUCAUUAGAAAACCAAGUUUACACAAUCCUCGACUGAGUACAGAAUUUAUAUUCUGUAACUGUUUUCACGCCUAUCGAUAGUUGUCGAUGUCAUUGCGCAGCUUUUACACUAUAUAAAAUAUCUGCGCAACGACACCGACAACGGUCGGUAGAUAAAGAUAGUUAUGGAAUCAUGUUCCUGAUGAUUGAGCGUUGUGUCGACGAUAACGGACAAUUGGAAUGCAACUUGUGUCGCAGUGUGCAGGAAAGUGUCUAAGGAUAUUGCAAUUGGAAAGCACUCAAUAUGUCUGAAAAAUUCGCGGAAUGAUAUUUUUCUUAUGAGACAAAUCGCCCCAUCUAACGGCCGACGUUAGAAAUAGUUUCUAAGAACUUCAUGCAGAAUAUGUGCGAGUUAUAUUAAUAUCGAUUGAAUACUUGGCAAGUGAAGAUGUGUUUUGAUUUAUGUGUUUAAGUGUGUCGUUCAAAUUUUACGAUGAAGCAAUGAGCGUGUAUCAAAUUUUGUUUCAAACUUGGCAAAACUGCAAUGGAAACUCAUGAAAUGAUGAAAACAGCGUUCAGAAAGGAUGCACCGUUACGCACAGUAACAUUCGACUGGUUUAAACGUUUUAAGGAAGGCUGGCAGUCACUGGAUGACGACGCGAGAAGUGAUCGACCGCCAACGGUUCGAAAUGAGAAAGUUGUGGAAGCUGUGCGUUCUUUAUUAACCCUCGUCUGACACUUCGUGCGAUAUCUGAACAGGUAAAAAUCGGUAAAGACACUAUUUCUACCAUCAUUCAUGGGGAUUUGAACCGUAGAAAAAUUUGUGCGCGCUUUGUUCCACAUUUUUUAACUUCAAAACAGUAAGAAAUGCGUGUGAAUUGUCAUGACUUUGUUGAAACGGAUCCAAAUAAGGAUCCAGAUUUCAUAAAAGUUAUUGUUACUGAUGACAAGACAUGGUGUUUCAUAUACGAUCCGCAAACAAAGAAACAGACACAAGACACAAGACAUCUGCAUAACCUUUAAUGAAGCGAGAUCAACGAAAGUUCGCCAACAAAAAUAAAAAAAUGAAGACAAUGCUCAUGCUAUUUUUUCUGCAGGAUUGAUUUAUGAAUUUGUGUUACUUGGCCAAAUCAUUAAUUCGAUAUUUUAUUUAGAGGUUUUGAAACACCUUCUGAAUCGAAUGAGACAUAUCAGACCUCUGUAGGAAGAAUGGAUGCAACAUGAUUUAUAGAUGUUACAGAAAAAAAAUUGAAAAUUCCCUUUAAAUGCAAAUACAAGAAGAAGGAAACGUGGUCAUAACCUAACGAAGACGAAGAAGAAAAGAAAAUCGUUCGUGAGAUCGCUUAGCGGAUGCGUGUUUGUCUCCAAAAUUGGCGGGAACUGGGAGCCAUAUUGGAUUAAGAACAAGAAAAAGACCUUUGUGCUUAAAAAUUCUUUGUAUCGUAACUAUUCUAGUAUAGUCUAUCAUAGAACGCAAGGUUUAUUAUAAUACAUAAUUGGUAAACGAUACAAGUGUGUGAAAUUUGUAAACCAUUUAUCGGAUGCAGAAUGCUUACGCCAAGCUUUGGCCAAAGUCUGUGCCUCGGACAACAUUCUCGACAAUAUAAUAAAGGAAAAAGGAAUUGUAUUGCAAAAAGCUAUUCCAGGGAAAAGUAGGCUUUGCGACAUUGAAGAAGAAGAAAUUUCUACUGAAAGUGAUAUUACAGUCUUAUUGAUAGAACUUAACUCUGCUUUUUCAACAUCUCUUCCUGUUGUUACUACAAGUAGUACAAUGAUUUGUACACAGAAUUUAGAAUCUGAACAUAUUAUGGAGAUGGAUAUCAACGAUAUUCCUUUUAUUAUUCAGGAACAGGUAGAUGCAAACAAUUUAACAUUAAAACUGAUGUACAGGUUCUGUUUGAAUUCUGCACUAAUAUAAAAAAAUGGAAGGAGGAAGAAGCUACAGAAGUCUUCAUUACAAAAGUAAAGUAUUAUGAUUGAAGUCCUAAUACAGCAUUUUGGCAUUGAACAGAAUGAAUUAGGCGAUUCACCUCGAUUAGUUUUGUUCACAAUGGAGGAAGGUAUUGCUGCAGCCUAUAUUGUCACAGAUGAGAUUAGAAUGAAAAUUUUUCAGCCAUCUGUUUGCAAAUCAGUAGCUUGUUUAUUGGCUUCAUAUUAUGUUUGGGAUACAAAGUACUCCAAUGCAUACAAAAACACAAUGGAAUACAUUGAUCAUGAAGUGAUGGGAACAAUAAUAAAGGAAAAUCCAGCUAUAGACAAAUUCAUCAGGGAUCGUAUCCGUCCUUAAGAGUAUAAUGUAUCGAUACGUGAUCUAGUAAAAUUAUGUGAAAAUUA